This 435-nucleotide ribosomal RNA is filed under the name uncultured bacterium. RNAcentral's name for it is "partial 16S ribosomal RNA". It matches the Rfam family "Bacterial small subunit ribosomal RNA", at positions 29 to 507 of the family's 1533-position model. The record is from RNAcentral.
AGCGAACGCUGGCGGCAGGCUUAACACAUGCAAGUCGAGCGGGCAUCUUCGGAUGUCAGCGGCAGACGGGUGAGUAACACGUGGGAACGUACCCUUCGGUUCGGAACAACUCUGGGAAACUGGAGCUAAUACCAGAUACGCCCUUAUGGGGAAAGGUUUACUGCCGAAGGAUCGGCCCGCGUCUGAUUAGCUAGUUGGUGGGGUAACGGCCUACCAAGGCGACGAUCAGUAGCUGGUCUGAGAGGAUGAUCAGCCACACUGGGACUGAGACACGGCCCAGACUCCUACGGGAGGCAGCAGUGGGGAAUAUUGGACAAUGGGCGCAAGCCUGAUCCAGCCAUGCCGCGUGAGUGAUGAAGGCCUUAGGGUUGUAAAGCUCUUUUGUCCGGGACGAUAAUGACGGUACCGGAAGAAUAAGCCCCGGCUAACUUCGUG